GGGUUGUGAGGUUAAGCGACUAAGCGUACACGGUGGAUGCCCUGGCAGUCAGAGGCGAUGAAGGACGUGCUAAUCUGCGAUAAGCGUCGGUAAGGUGAUAUGAACCGUUAUAACCGGCGAUUUCCGAAUGGGGAAACCCAGUGUGAUUCGUCACACUAUCAUUAACUGAAUCCAUAGGUUAAUGAGGCGAACCGGGGGAACUGAAACAUCUAAGUACCCCGAGGAAAAGAAAUCAACCGAGAUUCCCCCAGUAGCGGCGAGCGAACGGGGAGCAGCCCAGAGCCUGAAUCAGUGUGUGUGUUAGUGGAAGCGUCUGGAAAGGCGUGCGAUACAGGGUGACAGCCCCGUACACAAAAAUGCACAUAUUGUGAGCUCGAUGAGUAGGGCGGGACACGUGGUAUCCUGUCUGAAUAUGGGGGGACCAUCCUCCAAGGCUAAAUACUCCUGACUGACCGAUAGUGAACCAGUACCGUGAGGGAAAGGCGAAAAGAACCCCGGCGAGGGGAGCGAAAAAGAACCUGAAACCGUGUACGUACAAGCAGUGGGAGCACGCUUAGGCGUGUGACUGCGUACCUUUUGUAUAAUGGGUCAGCGACUUAUAUUCUGUAGCAAGGUUAACCGAAUAGGGGAGCCGAAGGGAAACCGAGUCUUAACUGGGCGUUAAGUUGCAGGGUAUAGACCCGAAACCCGGUGAUUCAGCCAUGGGCAGGUUGAAGGUUGGGUAACACUAACUGGAGGACCGAACCGACUAAUGUUGAAAAAUUAGCGGAUGACUUGUGGCUGGGGUGAAAGGCCAAUCAAACCGGGAGAUAGCUGGUUCUCCCCGAAAGCUAUUUAGGUAGCGCCUCGUGAAUUCAUCUCCGGGGGUAGAGCACUGUUUCGGCAAGGGGGUCAUCCCGACUUACCAACCCGAUGCAAACUGCGAAUACCGGAGAAUGUUAUCACGGGAGACACACGGCGGGUGCUAACGUCCGUCGUGAAGAGGGAAACAACCCAGACCGCCAGCUAAGGUCCCAAAGUCAUGGUUAAGUGGGAAACGAUGUGGGAAGGCCCAGACAGCCAGGAUGUUGGCUUAGAAGCAGCCAUCAUUUAAAGAAAGCGUAAUAGCUCACUGGUCGAGUCGGCCUGCGCGGAAGAUGUAACGGGGCUAAACCAUGCACCGAAGCUGCGGCAGCGACACUGUGUGUUGUUGGGUAGGGGAGCGUUCUGUAAGCCUGCGAAGGUGUACUGUGAGGUAUGCUGGAGGUAUCAGAAGUGCGAAUGCUGACAUAAGUAACGAUAAAGCGGGUGAAAAGCCCGCUCGCCGGAAGACCAAGGGUUCCUGUCCAACGUUAAUCGGGGCAGGGUGAGUCGACCCCUAAGGCGAGGCCGAAAGGCGUAGUCGAUGGGAAACAGGUUAAUAUUCCUGUACUUGGUGUUACCGCGAAGGGGGGGGGACGGAGAAGGCUAUGUUGGCCGGGCGACGGUUGUCCCGGUUUAAGCGUGUAGGCUGGUUUUCCAGGCAAAUCCGGAAAAUCAAGGCUGAGGCGUGAUGACGAGGCACUACGGUGCUGAAGCAACAAAUGCCCUGCUUUCCGUGAAAAGCCUCUAAGCAUCAGGUAACAUCAAAUCGUACCCCAAACCGACACAGGUGGUCAGGUAGAGAAUACCAAGGCGCUUGAGAGAACUCGGGUGAAGGAACUAGGCAAAAUGGUGCCGUAACUUCGGGAGAAGGCACGCUGAUAUGUAGGUGAAGUCCCUCGCGGAUGGAGCUGAAAUCAGUCGAAGAUACCAGCUGGCUGCAACUGUUUAUUAAAAAACACAGCACUGUGCAAACACGAAAGUGGACGUAUACGGUGUGACGCCUGCCCGGUGCCGGAAGGUUAAUUGAUGGGGUCAGCGCAAGCGAAGCUCUUGAUCGAAGCCCCGGUAAACGGCGGCCGUAACUAUAACGGUCCUAAGGUAGCGAAAUUCCUUGUCGGGUAAGUUCCGACCUGCACGAAUGGCGUAAUGAUGGCCAGGCUGUCUCCACCCGAGACUCAGUGAAAUUGAACUCGCUGUGAAGAUGCAGUGUACCCGCGGCAAGACGGAAAGACCCCGUGAACCUUUACUAUAGCUUGACACUGAACAUUGAGCCUUGAUGUGUAGGAUAGGUGGGAGGCUUUGAAGUGUGGACGCCAGUCUGCAUGGAGCCGGCCUUGAAAUACCACCCUUUAAUGUUUGAUGUUCUAACGUUGACCCGUGAUCCGGGUUGCGGACAGUGUCUGGUGGGUAGUUUGACUGGGGCGGUCUCCUCCUAAAGAGUAACGGAGGAGCACGAAGGUUGGCUAAUCCCGGUCGGACAUCAGGAGGUUAGUGCAAUGGCAUAAGCCAGCUUGACUGCGAGCGUGACGGCGCGAGCAGGUGCGAAAGCAGGUCAUAGUGAUCCGGUGGUUCUGAAUGGAAGGGCCAUCGCUCAACGGAUAAAAGGUACUCCGGGGAUAACAGGCUGAUACCGCCCAAGAGUUCAUAUCGACGGCGGUGUUUGGCACCUCGAUGUCGGCUCAUCACAUCACGGGGCUGAAGUAGGUCCCAAGGGUAUGGCUGUUCGCCAUUUAAAGUGGUACGCGAGCUGGGUUUAGAACGUCGUGAGACAGUUCGGUCCCUAUCUGCCGUGGGCGCUGGAGAACUGAGGGGGGCUGCUCCUAGUACGAGAGGACCGGAGUGGACGCAUCACUGGUGUUCGGGUUGUCAUGCCAAUGGCACUGCCCGGUAGCUAAAUGCGGAAGAGAUAAGUGCUGAAAGCAUCUAAGCACGAAACUUGCCCCGAGAUGAGUUCUCCUGACUCCUUGAGAGUCCUGAAGGAACGUUGAAGACGACGACGUUGAUAGGCCGGGUGUGUAAGCGCAGCGAUGCGUUGAGCUAACCGGUACUAAUGAACCGUGAGGCUUAACCUUACAACGCCGAAGGUGUUU
This 2933-nucleotide ribosomal RNA is filed under the name Escherichia coli. Its description in RNAcentral is "bacterial LSU rRNA". It matches the Rfam family "Bacterial large subunit ribosomal RNA". Lineage: Bacteria; Pseudomonadati; Pseudomonadota; Gammaproteobacteria; Enterobacterales; Enterobacteriaceae. The record is from RNAcentral.